RNAcentral lists this ribosomal RNA (440 nucleotides) under uncultured bacterium. Its description in RNAcentral is "partial 16S ribosomal RNA". It matches the Rfam family "Bacterial small subunit ribosomal RNA", at positions 338 to 795 of the family's 1533-position model. The record is from RNAcentral.
CCUACGGGAGGCAGCAGUGGGGAAUAUUGCACAAUGGGGGAAACCCUGAUGCAGCGACGCCGCGUGAGUGAAGAAGGAUCUCUGUAUGUAAAGCUCUUUCAGCAGGGAAGAAAAUGACGGUACCUGUUUAAGAAGCCCCGGCUAACUACGGGCCAGCAGCCGCGGUAAUACGUAGGGGGCAAGCGUUAUCCGGAUUUACUGGGUGUAAAGGGAGCGUAGACGGCAGCACAAGUCGGGAGUGAAAGGCCGUGGCUUAACCCCGGAACUGCUUUGGAAACUGUGCAGCUAGAGUGCAGUGGAGGUAAGUGGAAUGCCUAGUGUAGCGGUGAAAUGCGUAGAUAGUAGGAGGAACACCAGUGGCGAAGGCGGCUUACUGGACUGUAACUGACGUUGAGGCUCGAAAGCGUGGGGAGCAAACAGGAUUAGAUACCCUGGUAGUC